UGACAGAGGCACAAUGAGUUUAGGUGUUAGAUGAUACAAUGAUGGACCAUGCAUAUUAAGGAUGAGGAGAUAGAUGAAGAGAGGAGACUUGUGGAUAGAGAGAAAGCAGAAAAAACAAACAGCAUGUAUAAAGGCCCUGAGGCAGGAAAGGUUUGGUGGGUUGGCGGCACUAGGAGACGUCUAGAUUGAGCACACUGUUUGCAGGCUGGAGUCACAAGUUGGCUGUUCUUCCAUUUAUUCCUCACCUCAGUGUCUCUGGUGGUCAACCCAAUAUCUACUUGUAGCAAAUGCUCAGUAAAUAUUUAUUGAAUGAAUCUAGCUUUAUCUGUGUUAUAGCUAGUGAAUUUCCAUCAAAUUUUCUGUCCUCUAGAUGGCACCCUUCCAUAGUUUAAAGAGGUGACGGAGACUUUUUUUUUUUUUAAUUUAAUAAUACAUAGUGGAAAAACUUGCUUAAAUUUUCUGCACCUCAAUGUCCUCAUCUGUAAAAUAUAGGUAUACAAAUAACACCUACCUCAUAGGUGGUGGUAAGGUUUCAAUUGAGCAAAAUAUGUGAAGCAUUCAGCUUUUGACUUAGUAGUCGAUCAAUACCUAUUACCCAAUAUUUAUUCAUUCUAUUGUGAUAGGUAUUAUUUCAGUCUGUGAGAUGGCCCAUGUUCUGUGUUCAUGUUAUAUCUUGCCCAGAAAUAUUUCAGUUGUACUGGAAAUUUCUAAUUUGGAGGACACCCAAAACCCUUUUCCCAUUUGAAUUGUACACUGAGAUGCUACCCCUUCCCCAUUCUGUGUCCAGGUGUUCUGAGUGGGACAUCUACCACCAGUUACAGACUAGCAACCCUGGGGGCUCAUGUCAAUACUUGUAUUUGGGUGUGCAACAUCACAGAGUGUGCGGAAAGGAAGCCUAACCGGAACUGAUGAAAUAUGCAAUAAUUAGGGGCCUUUGCCUUUUCUCUGUGGAAACUACUAGAGGCCAUUAAUUUUCACCACAAUAAAAGAGAUGAGGUCGCGAAGUCUAUAUCUAUGGAAACCACUGCUGCUAGAAGAAAAGCUGAGAGAUCCUUCAAGGGGAGCCUGAGGGUCAAGAAGAUUAGAACGGAGAAAAGCUUAAGAAUGAAGUUCUAGGUGAUCUUUCUUGAGCCACUGGGCUCAUCCUGCCUGAAAUUAUUUCUGAUCUUUUGCAUUAUGUGAGCUAGUGCAUUUUCAUUUUUAGUCUAAACUAGUUUAAGUUGGAAUUUUGUUACUUGAGUACCGUCUUAAUUUAUACACAGUUUUCUCUGAGAAUGUGAUUUUGCCCACCUUAUGUUAAAUACAUAUUGACAGAAAUAGAAUUACUCUUUCAGUAAUUUUACCCAGAAAUUUCACUGCUAUAAUAAUCAAUGGAUACUAUGCUAUUAGGUAGGACAUAUACUCAGUUUUUUCCAGUAUAAAUCAAACUCUGGGAUAACAGAGUCUUUUAGAAAUUAGUGGCUCUCUUAAUAGUUAUGCUGUGGUGCCCAUGGGCUAGCCCUGGAUAAAUGACGUUUCUACAUACAAAUUUGUUUUUAUUCUAUAGCUUCUUUUACUUUUUAAGGUACCACAAGAACAUUACUGAAAUCUAUUAUCAUCCACUUAUAAAUCUGAGUUGAGUUUUUUGCUAUUUAAUAUCUAUUAUUUAAUUUCUACCUUUCCGUUAGGUCUAAAUUUUGAGAGACCAGGGUUUUUAUUACUCACAGAGGAAAUAUUCGAAGUGGAAGGAAUUUUGGAAUCAGACAGAACUGGGUUCCAAUCUCAGCUCUGCGACUUGCUAGCUCAGUGAACUUGGACUAGUUAUUUAACUCUGAGCCUUAAUUUUUUUUCCCCCCAAAUUGAGUGAUUAGAAACUUCCAGAAAGAGAAAUGCAUGAGGAAUACUGAGGCAGCAUACAGAGCUCUUAGUGCACAUUAAGGUUCCUAAAGGCUUUUACCAAGUACUAUUUUCCUCUUCCCAAUUAGUGCAUUUAGCUUUGUCUCCAGACAUUUUAGUGAGAAGGCAUGCCUAGCAGAUAUAUUGUUCUUUGAACUAAAAUAGUAAAUGUUUUUCUUUGUUUAUUGAUUUCUACAAGCUCAGUGAGAAGGAGCUAAUGGGUGUUUAGAUUAGACCGUGUUCAUGGCUAAUUCGAUGCCAUGUUUAUGAAUUACUUUGAAGUAGCAUAGCUAUGGAUGAUAGGAAUACCUGUAUUUCUUAGCAUACUGUACAUUUAGAAUUAUGGGAAGCUUAGAAAGCCAAUGAACCCCUCUCCUAUCAUAAUGUCCAUACAUCCGUUUUUCUAUGUAUUCUUUCAGUUCCAUUGGAGAAUUUCGUCUUUAUGUUUUUUGCAUUUAUUUUUAAACUUUGUGUUACUGUGUAGCUCAUAAUAAGGAAAAUUUGACAAAAUGUACCCAUUCAUGCUGUAAACUAUGAUCCAUAUUUAAUAUGAGCUGCGAGAGAGAAGUGGCAUCACCCCCCCUCCCGUUUUAUUCCUAUUAUUGAAGCAUUCUCCACAUUUGGAUCCCCAAUUUGAAGAGUUUUAUUCUUGACAGUAAUUUUUAUAUAAAUGUCUGGAAUGGUCUUCACGCGAAAUACUUUUUGCUUUCCCACUGGAUCUCAGUGCUAACUUCGACAAUCAGAAACCAUGUAAAAAUCUCCCAAUUGCAUACCCUGCCUAGUGGUCUGAUGGACAUGACCUCUUCAUGCCAGCAUCCCUCCUCAGUUCCCAGCAGGAGAGUGAGCUGGGGCAGCCUAGGAAUCUUCUUAAACAGAUGGCUAAACAUGUGCAAGUUUUUUUUUUUAUUAUUUUAUUUUUUAGGGCCUCGCUUGCAGCUUAUGGAAGUUCCCAGCCAAGGGAUUAAAUCGGAGCUGUAGCCGCUGGCCUACACCACAGCCACAGCAACUCACGAUCUGAGCCGCCUCUGUGACCUACACCACAGCUCAUGGCAACGCUGGAUCCUUAACCCACUGAGCAAGGUGAGGGAUCGAACCUGCAUCCUCAUGGCUACUAGUCAGGUUCGUAACCUGCUGAGCCACAACGGGAACUCCUAAACAUGUCCAAGUUUGUUUGUUUUCUAUUUUUUAAAGUUUUAUUGAGGUAUAGCUGAUUUACAAGGUUGUGAUAAUUUCUACUUACAGCAAAGUGAUUCAGUUACACAUUACACACAUCCAUUCUCUUUCAGAGUCUUUUCCCAUAUAUAUCAUCACAGAAAAUUGCGUAGAGUUCUCGGUGCUGUACAGCAGGUCCCCAUUAGCCAGUCACUCCGUACAGCUCAGUGUGCAUAUGCCAAUCCUAACCCCUAGUCCAUCCCUCCCCCACACCUGUCCCCACUGGUAACCAUAAGCUUUUCCAAGUCUGUGAGUCUUUUUCUGUUCUGCAAAUAAGUUCAUUUGUAUCCUUUUUUUUUUCUUCAGAUUCUACAGAUAAGUGAUAUCAUAUGAUGUUGGGCUUUCACUGUCUGACUAAUUUUACUUAGCAUGAUAAUUUUCAAGUUUGAAUUUUUCUGAAAACUGGUAUAAUUAUACGAAGGACUUAGCUGUCCUUUUUUAUUGUUCUGGUUGAAUUCGGGAGGGAGAAAUAAGCUCCUGAAAAUUAGUGAAGACAAGCAGGACAGCAAGACACUCUCACCCAAGGUGUCUCUUUAUGUGUAAUGAUAGUUGCAAUUUAUGGCCCAGAGGCAAGAUGGCAUGAUGAUUAGAAGCGUGGCCUGUGUGCUGCCUUGGCUGGAACCCAGAUCUGCCACUUAUCAAGUGUGUGGCGUUGGAAGGGGACCCUCCCUGUGUGCGUCUGUGAAACAGAGAUACAAAAAACAGGUACUUGGAGUUCCUGUUGUGGCUCAGAGGGUUAAGAGCCUGACAUAGUGUCUGUGAGGAUGUGGGUUCAAUCCCUGGCCUCACUCAGUGGAUUAAGGAUCCUUCAUUGCUGUGACUAUGGCAUAGGCUGGCAGUUGCAGGUCUGAUUUGACCUCUAGCCUGGAGACUUCCAUAUGUUGCAAGUCCAGCCAGAAAAAGAAAAAACAAAAACAACCAAAACCAAAACAAAGCAACAAACAAACAGGCCCUACCUCAUAGAUUCUUAGGAGGAGUCUUAAAGCUAAAUGAAAUAAAUGUAAUUAGAAUAGUGCCUGGCAUAUUGUAAAUGCUCAAGAAUUUUAGUUUUCAGGAGUUCCCUUGUGGUGCAGUGAAUUAAGGAUCUGACGUUAUCACUGCUAUGGCUUGGGUCACUGUUGUGGCAUGGGUUCAAUCCCUGGCCCAGGAAAUGCCACAGAUGCAGCCCCCCAAAAUUGUCAGUUUUGGUUAUUAUUGUGUUUCUGGACAUUUAAUUUAACAAUACUCUGAGCAGAAACUUCAAAUAAAUAAAUUCAAAAUAUGCUGACUAAAUACAAGUAAAUGUAAUUUCAGGAUGCCAAUGAAUUUAGUUAUAUGGAAAUCAGUGAGAAGAUAUUUUAUAUUAAUUUACAUCAAUUGAAAUGAGGAUUGUUGAGUCUCAUGAAAAUUUUUAUAGAAAUCAUUUCUUCAGAAAUUCCUUCAUAUGCACAGGAAAAAAGCACUUUACUAACAGAGCCUAAAGGAUAAAAGGGACAAAAGCAUUUUGACUCCCAAGUGCUUUUGUUAUUCUCCUGUAAAUGGAAUCCUUUGUCCUGCUCAAACUACUCCAGUUCUCUCUUUAACUCCUUUCUUAAUCAAAACUGUUGAAAGAAUUGUCUCUCCUUGAGGCUAUACUUUAUUACAGGCCGUUUUUUUUUUCUGGACCUAAGGUAACUUCAGUUCACUGCUCCUCUUCUCUUGCAGAAGCCGUCAGAAAAGCUGGGGCUACUAAACCCCAGCAGAUCGGGAGUUCCUGUUGUGGUUCAGCAGUAAUGAACCCCACCAGUAUCCUGUGGUGUAGGCUGGGAGCUGCAGCUCCCUAGCCUGGAAACUUCCAUAUGCCAUUGGUGCUGCCCUAAAGAAAAAAAAAAAAGAGACUCCAACAGAUUCUUUUUGGUCAUUGCUAAUGGAGGCUUUAAAGCUUCCAAGCUUCCAGCCUAGCAAAUUUGUGCUCACUCUUCACUCAGGCUUUCCUCCACCAUCCUCAUAAACCUCACAACCCUCUGUUGUACCUUAGGGUAUUUUAAUAACUCAUUCCUGUCCAUAGCUUAUACUUUGUGAGCCUCUCUCUGGAAGGCAUGGAGUUUUAUUUCAAUACUUCAGAAUUUUCAGAGCUUCUUAUCCAGUAAGCAUGUAGUUGUCUCUGUAGAGAUUUAUUAAAUGAAUCAUCAGAUUCUAUGAUGACAUUCUAUUUUCAAUCAGGUGCAUAUUUUAAUUUUAAUACACAUUAUGCGCAAGUACAUUUCCAAAGUUUUGUUCUUAUAUUUUUAUGCAUAAUCUAUAGAAACAAUAGAGAAACACUGUAAAUUUACAAUGUUUCAACUGAGGUAUUUAAGGGCCUUGUUAUCCAAGCACAUAGGCCCUCAAUGGAAAGCAAGAAAGAAAAAAAGAAGGAAGGAAAGAAAGAAAGAAAGAUAGAAAGGAAGGAAGGAAGAAAGGGGGGUUUAAACGUGAAUGACAGAAAAAUGAUAGACAAACAUGGGACUAAAUAAAUAUGAAUGACCUGGCCCCAGUAAAUGAGACCUUUUAUCAUGAAUGUUCUGAGUCAUCUCCCUGAUGGUUAUUUCACAGGGGUUCAAUCCACAUUUUCUUCCAUAUCUUCAACUUUCUCCAACCCAUCAGGAUGAUUAGUUCAUUACUGAGAAUACACCCUGGGUUUCUACUCUUAUUUUUCACUCUACUGCUUCCUUUAUCAGAAUGUCUUUAGCCCUCUAU
This 5781-nucleotide long non-coding RNA is filed under the name Sus scrofa (pig). RNAcentral's name for it is "lncRNA (ENSSSCG00040037446.1)". The record is from RNAcentral. Lineage: Eukaryota; Metazoa; Chordata; Mammalia; Artiodactyla; Suidae.